Molecule: non-coding RNA, 207 nt
Organism: Vicia faba (fava bean)
Lineage: Eukaryota; Viridiplantae; Streptophyta; Magnoliopsida; Fabales; Fabaceae
Source: the annotation of a GenBank genome assembly
AUGAAAGCAAAGGAGUUGCGAUUUACUGAGUUGAAGCUUAAGAGUGAUACCGUCAAUAAGGAUUCUAAGCAAGUGCAAGGGUUUCUAUUCUUUUUCAAAACCCUAACUGAUGCCGUUAGAUUUUUUGAUCGUCAUGAAAUGCAGGAUUCUCUAGUUGUUGCACUGUCACUUAACUCACGUGAAAGUGGGUGCACAUCAUCAGAUUAG